UACAGAGGGUGCGAGCGUUGUUCGGAAUUAUUGGGCGUAAAGGGCGCGUAGGCGGUUCGGUAAGUCAGGUGUGAAAUCUCCACGCUCAACGUGGAGGCGCCACCUGAAACUGCCGUGACUCGAGUCCGGUAGGGGAGUGUGGAAUUCCCGGUGUAGCGGUGAAAUGCGCAGAUAUCGGGAGGAACACCCGUAGCGAAGGCGGCACUCUGGGCCGGUACUGACGCUGAGGAGCGAAAGCGUGGGGAGCAAACAGG
This 254-nucleotide ribosomal RNA is filed under the name uncultured bacterium. RNAcentral describes it as "partial 16S ribosomal RNA". It matches the Rfam family "Bacterial small subunit ribosomal RNA", at positions 524 to 776 of the family's 1533-position model. The record is from RNAcentral.